CAGUAGCCGCGGGAAUACGAAGGGGGCUAGCGUUGCUCGGAAUUACUGGGCGUAAAGGGAGCGUAGGCGGAUCGUUAAGUUGGGGGUGAAAGCCCGGGGCUCAACCUCGGAACCGCCUUCAAUACUGGCGAUCUUGAGUAUGAGAGAGGUGUGUGGAACUCCGAGUGUAGAGGUGAAAUUCGUAGAUAUUCGGAAGAACACCGGUGGCGAAAGCGGCUCUCUGGCUUGUAACUGACGCUGAGGCUCGAAAGCGUGGGGAGCAAACAGGAUUAGAUACCCCUGUAGUCCCUGUCUCUUAUAC
RNAcentral lists this ribosomal RNA (301 nucleotides) under uncultured bacterium. RNAcentral describes it as "partial 16S ribosomal RNA". It matches the Rfam family "Bacterial small subunit ribosomal RNA", at positions 509 to 807 of the family's 1533-position model. The record is from RNAcentral.